UGGGUUGUGGCUCAGUGGUAGAGCACUUGUCUAGCAUGUGUGUGGCACUGGGUUCAAUUCUCAGCACCACAU
Ictidomys tridecemlineatus (thirteen-lined ground squirrel) is the source of this 72-nucleotide non-coding RNA. The record is from Rfam. Lineage: Eukaryota; Metazoa; Chordata; Mammalia; Rodentia; Sciuridae.